ACCCACUGCUUCUUCUUGGUCUGAGAAAUCAGUUGCUUGUGCUGUGUUGCCAGCUUCUUGAUUUCUUCUACAAAUUCUUCCUUACACUUUUCCUUUACUUGCUUACAUUUUCUGUCCAUCUCACCCUGCAUGUUGGCUACAGCUUUAUUUACAGCUUGUCUCUUUUCUUCUUCCAUUUCAGAACGCAGCUGGAAUGAAAAGACAACCCACAGUGCGUCAGCACACAACUUAACACAGACCAUCUACACUGGAACAGAAACUUAACACAACUUGCAUGAGAUGUUUACUGUGUACCAGGGGAAGGCACUAAGAAGAAUGGAAAAGUGAAUGGGGUCUACGUGAUCUUGAGUUUCAUUGCCUCAUUUGACAGCGGCAAGAGAUGCUGCCCACAGGUGUUAAGGUGACAGACUACUCUAGGACUGCUGCAGAUUAGCACCAUUAUUAUUAUUAUUUUUUUGAGACGGAGUCUCACUGUGUCGCCCAGGCUGGAGUGAAGUGGCACAGUCUCUGCUCACUGCAAGCUCUACCUCCCGGGUUCACGCCAUUCUCCUGCCUCAGCCUCCCAAGUAGGUGGGACUACAGGCACACACCACCACGCAUGGCUAAUUUUUCAUAUUUUUAGUAGAGACGGGGUUUCACUGUGUUAUCCAGGAUGGUCUCGAUCUCCUGACCUCAUGAUCCAGCCGCCUCGGCCUCCCAAAGUGCAGGGAUUACAGGCGUGAGCCACCGUGCCUGGCCUAACCCAAAUAUUCUUUAAAAAUAUUUUCUGCAUAGUAUACUGAAUGACAUCUAACAAGUUAACUCAUUAUUAAUAUCACUCAUGGUUGAAGACAGUAUAAAGCUACUUGCAAGUUGAUGAAAAAGAAAAAUAUAUAGAUAAAAAGUUCUAAUUAUCAGAUUAUUCUUACCUAUUAGUAUGGCUAUAAAAAUAACUGAAUUCUUGUUUUUUCUAAGUUAACUGUGUUUUAUUUAAUGUGAAAAACAUUGAAGCAAACUUUCCCCCGUUAUUCCUUGAAUAUCUGUUGUAUUAUAAAAGCUGACAUUUAUUGAGUACUCACUAUGUGCUAGGUACUAUGCUCAGGUCUCUCUGUAGCAACAUUUCUUUAAACCUUACAAAAACUCUUAUGAGGCCUUUAUUUUGCUAAGGCUCAGAGAAACUGACUAAUGUAUCAAGAUUAGGGUAGAAGACAGUGAAGCAAGAACACAAUCUCACAUAAAGACUUACCCUAACCUACCAAAAAUACAUUAUUUCCUUGCCUAUUCUGAUAAGAAACUGAAACCAUCCGAGUAUGAUGUAUUAAGCAUAUGUUAAAAAUUACCACUUAAUGUAAUUAAAACAUUCAUUUUGUAUUGAGUUAUUUUAUUGGAUCAUUAUUUAAUGUUUCUUGACAUGACAGUGUCAGGUAAGUGUGUAUCUACCUAUGAAAGAACAGAACUACCUUCUGGGAAAUUUACAGUAUUUAUAGGUUUCUUAUAACUACACUUCUGUUUAAAUUAAAUUAAUGAAGACUAAGUAAAAAUUUACCACAGGGAGGAGUAAGGUCCCUCAUUGUGUAGCUUCUCUAUGCACUAAUAACCUCCUGGCAUGACAGGAGACACCUCAUGGACUGUUCAUUUAAAUCCUUACAAAGUAUGACUUUUAGAUCAUGUAGCUGGUUUCUGUCACUUUUUCACCUUAUCUCAAUAUCUGUGUUAAAUGAACCAAAUAAAUUGCAUGUGAAUUCUUUAUUCCUAUUAUGGCUUAUUUCCACGCACGCUUCAGGUAUUUACACACAUUGUAAGAUCACAAGAUUGACGAUUUUAGUCUAUAUGUCUUUAACUGAGCCUUGAAGAUGGCUGGAGCAACUAGAGUAACUGUGAAUAUGGUAAUGGUAAUUCCAUUACCAUAUUAUGGAAUGGACACAUUCUGAGGCCCUUCUGCCCACUGUACUAUAAAUUCAGUCUUAACCGUAAUGUGCUUCUGAAGUUCAACAGUGUCAGUUAUUAAAAAUUCCUGUUUAGUACACAAUAUCUGAAAAAUAUCUG
RNAcentral lists this long non-coding RNA (2025 nucleotides) under Homo sapiens (human). RNAcentral's name for it is "PREDICTED lncRNA (TCONS_00029799)". Lineage: Eukaryota; Metazoa; Chordata; Mammalia; Primates; Hominidae. The record is from RNAcentral.